GGAUGUUGCAAAGGAGCAUGCGCGGGUCCAGUGGGCGCGUAUUUCCCGCGGUUUUUGGCGCUCUGCAGAAAUGCAGGAACCGUUAAAGGGCUGUGGCUCUCUUGCCAAGCAUCUAGGUGAGACAGCUACAGGAGCCCUGAGAGAACAAAACAUUGGCAAUGCAAGUAGACAGAAGGGAGUCAGCCCGUAUUCAACUUCUGCGUAUCCAGCUGUCUCUGCCUACCGACCCCAACUUGCUGAACCUGCUACUGAGGUUUCUCCAUUCUGCCACCCACUACGUAGUAACUGCCUCUUUUCCCCUCAACCAGACUGUCCUUUUGUGACAUCACAGGAAGUUUGUAGCCCGUGGCAACUGCUUAGGGAUGCAUCUGCACAGCCUCCCAUCCUGGUACUGGAAAGGGGAAUGCCAUGAACGUUACUUAGAUGUAUUUAGAAAUACCUUGAUUUAGAAGUAGAAGAUGGCUUGCUUAAACUCUGCUGUCUCCUUCAUUGCUGCUUUCGGGAAAAGCCUCGUCAGCUUGUGACAUCCAUGAAAGGCAAACACAGAUACGGUGAGGGGAAUGGCCCUCAUUCAACAGUUAUCAUCCAGCCACCUCCACUGGCCAGCCUGCCAACCUCCGCUGGCUUCCACCCAUGAAUAUCCAGUGGUUCAUUCGCCCAGAGCCUGGAGGGCAGCCUACACCGCUGUCUGAACAUGCAAGUCCCAGUCAUAAUGUGUCUGGUGGGUGACCCUAUGUUCACACUCUCCAUUCAUACUUACCCCAGCAUCAAUCCACAAAUAUCCACACAGCUUUUGUCAAUGGCCUUCUGAAGGUGAAUUUCAACCAGCUUACGUGCACAAACUUCGUCCUCCUUCAGCCCUGCGGUUUCCUGGGCUCCCACAUGCUAAUCACAGCUUCUGCCAGGUCCGUCGCCAGCUUCUACCAUGGAUAUCUGCCGCUUUCAAGCCGCAGUCCUGCUCAGCAGGUAAACUUGCCUUCUCGUUGCUCCACAGCAUCUCAUUGAUGGAUGAUGGCCUCCUUCCAUUUGCCACUUCGCCUCCAUGCGGAAGGAGACCACCAAGUACUGAAUAACACAACUGUUGUCCACUGUGUCCUUUUCAAGCUUUGCCUUGGGCUUUCCCCUUGGGCUGCUUUUGUAUAUCCACUGAGAUGCUAUGUGCUUGUGUGACAUCACAGGGCGUCCACAGCCAAUAACAGCAGCUAGAGGGGCAUCAUCAUGACCUCCUCAGGCCUCACAAUGGUGGGCGCAGCUCAACAGCCAUUUCCCCUUUGCUUGUUUGCUAUGUACAGCUCACUCCUUUUCUGUAAUGACACCAGAGAAAGGCAUGCCAUAAACCCACCUUCCUAUUUUGACUCUCUGGCACCCUAUCUGCAUAACCUAGCAAUUCCAAAACAUAGACGCGCUUUUACUCUCGCAAGAUUGAAUGGUUUGCCUUCGGCUGGACUUGAGGGAUGAUUCCAACAGAUUCCAUAUGAUAAAUGCUUAUGUCCCUGUGGAGAUGGCAGUCCUGAAUCGGUGGCACAUGCCCUUCUGGCUUGCACUCUUUGUAAAGACUUGAGGAAUGAGGUCACCAUCUCUCUCUUAUGGUCCAUUCCAGGUCGCCCAACCACUGCCACACUGUCUAUUCCAUUGGCAGAUCAAUAUGAGCAGGUGACAGCAAAGGUUGCAAGGUUUUUAGCUGAGGCAAUCAGAAUAAGAUCCACUACAGCAGGCACGUCCAACAGGUAGAUUGUGAUCUACCGGUAGAUCACUGGACACCUGUGGUAGAUCACUGGCUCCCCCCAAAGAAGCUCAACAACUUUGGCUCCCCUAAAGAAAAGCUCAACACUUUUGCCCUGCACCCUCCAAAAUGUGGCUUUCCUCCUCUCUAAAAAGCUCAACAACUUUGACCUGAACCCAAAAAACCAGGGCUUUCCUUCCUAAAAAAAAGCUCAACAACCUUGACCUGAACCCCAAAGGGGGGGGGGGUAGAUCACUGCCAGUUUUUAACUCUGUGAGUAGAUCGCAGUCUCUUAGGAGUUGGCAACCCCUGCACUACAGUAUUUGACUAUUGAUUCAAAACCCUAAAAUGUAUUUUAUAUAAUUGCCUUUUUAUUUAUGUUGUGUAUAUUGCAAUGUUAUUUUGUUGCUAUGGCCUAUGGCUGACGCAAAUAAAGUUUAUUCAUUCAAUCAAUCAAUCAAUCCAUAGCGGGGGGUCAUUUUUCAUCCUGAUGGCUGCAUUCCUUUGGGUCAGAUUUUCCAUGUAUGGGAGCCAACUCCUAAGGGCCAAAAAAUACUGCCCCCC
Non-coding RNA from Zootoca vivipara (common lizard), 2287 nucleotides. NCBI's taxonomy places the organism in Eukaryota, Metazoa, Chordata, Lepidosauria, Squamata, Lacertidae. The record is from RefSeq and is a predicted model, not a curated record.